This 434-nucleotide ribosomal RNA is filed under the name uncultured Roseburia sp. Its description in RNAcentral is "bacterial SSU rRNA". It matches the Rfam family "Bacterial small subunit ribosomal RNA", at positions 341 to 792 of the family's 1533-position model. The record is from RNAcentral. Lineage: Bacteria; Bacillati; Bacillota; Clostridia; Lachnospirales; Lachnospiraceae.
ACGGAAGGCAGCAGUGGGGAAUAUUGCACAAUGGGGGAAACCCUGAUGCAGCGACGCCGCGUGAGCGAAGAAGUAUUUCGGUAUGUAAAGCUCUAUCAGCAGGGAAGAAAAUGACGGUACCUGACUAAGAAGCUCCGGCUAAAUACGUGCCAGCAGCCGCGGUAAUACGUAUGGAGCAAGCGUUAUCCGGAUUUACUGGGUGUAAAGGGAGCGUAGGCGGCGGGGCAAGUCUGAUGUGAAAACCCGGGGCUCAACCCCGGGACUGCAUUGGAAACUGUCCUGCUAGAGUGUCGGAGGGGUAAGUGGAAUUCCUAGUGUAGCGGUGAAAUGCGUAGAUAUUAGGAGGAACACCGGUGGCGAAGGCGGCUUACUGGACGACAACUGACGCUGAGGCUCGAAAGCGUGGGGAGCAAACAGGAUUAGAUACCCUGGUA